UUCCAGCUCCAAUAGCGUAUAUUAAAGUUGUUGCAGUUAAAAAGCUCGUAGUUGGAUUUCUGGCAGGAGUGACUGACCACAAACUCUGUUUGUGAGUUGUGUCAUUCUGGCCAUCCUUGGUAAGAUCCUUUUUGGCAUUAAGUUGUCGGGAAGGGGAUGACCAUCGUUUACUGUGAAAAAAUUAGAGUGUUUAAAGCAGGCUUAUGCCGUUGAAUAUAUUAGCACGGAAUAAUAAGAUAGGACUUUGAGUCUAUUUUGUUGGUUUGCGAGUCAAAGUAAUGAUUAGUAGGGACAGUUGGGGGCAUUCGUAUUUCAUUGUCAGAGGUGAAAUUCUUGGAUUUCUGAAAGACGAACUACUGCGAAAGCAUUUACCAAGGAUGUUUUCAUCG
This 389-nucleotide ribosomal RNA is filed under the name Skeletonema sp. RNAcentral describes it as "partial small subunit ribosomal RNA". It matches the Rfam family "Eukaryotic small subunit ribosomal RNA", at positions 583 to 975 of the family's 1831-position model. The record is from RNAcentral. Lineage: Eukaryota; Bacillariophyta; Thalassiosirophyceae; Thalassiosirales; Thalassiosiraceae.